UUGAACCGCAUGGUUCAAAAGUGAAAGACGGUCUUGCUGUCACUUAUAGAUGGAUCCGCGCUGCAUUAGCUAGUUGGUAAGGUAACGGCUUACCAAGGCAACGAUGCAUAGCCGACCUGAGAGGGUGAUCGGCCACACUGGAACUGAGACACGGUCCAGACUCCUACGGGAGGCAGCAGUAGGGAAUCUUCCGCAAUGGGCGAAAGCCUGACGGAGCAACGCCGCGUGAGUGAUGAAGGUCUUCGGAUCGUAAAACUCUGUUAUUAGGGAAGAACAUAUGUGUAAGUAACUGUGCACAUCUUGACGGUACCUAAUCAGAAAGCCACGGCUAACUACGUGCCAGCAGCCGCGGUAAUACGUAGGUGGCAAGCGUUAUCCGGAAUUAUUGGGCGUAAAGCGCGCGUAGGCGGUUUUUUAAGUCUGAUGUGAAAGCCCACGGCUCAACCGUGGAGGGUCAUUGGAAACUGGAAAACUUGAGUGCAGAAGAGGAAAGUGGAAUUCCAUGUGUAGCGGUGAA
RNAcentral lists this ribosomal RNA (517 nucleotides) under Staphylococcus aureus. RNAcentral describes it as "bacterial SSU rRNA". It matches the Rfam family "Bacterial small subunit ribosomal RNA", at positions 181 to 685 of the family's 1533-position model. The record is from RNAcentral. Lineage: Bacteria; Bacillati; Bacillota; Bacilli; Caryophanales; Staphylococcaceae.